Long non-coding RNA from Mercurialis annua (annual mercury), 309 nucleotides. RefSeq lists it as uncharacterized. The transcript is spliced from 2 exons. The record is from RefSeq and is a predicted model, not a curated record. NCBI's taxonomy places the organism in Eukaryota, Viridiplantae, Streptophyta, Magnoliopsida, Malpighiales, Euphorbiaceae.
CUAGACUCGUCGACUGUUCGUGCUUCGGAGACGAAUCAGGAUUAGUUUGCUUGCCAGGUUAUCACGUGGAUUAGCAAGCAGGUUAUGAUCUGAGAGAGUCUGGUGAUCUCCGCAUUUACUUUUCCUUGGAGGUUCCAUUUAUUUUAGUAGAACUAUCAAACUAUUUUAUUCUUAGACCGCAGUAGUUGACUAGAUGUUUAUAGUAUUAUUACAGUUGUUUGUCGGAUAGGUCCGACUAGUUAUAUUGCUCUGGUAUGUUAUAUGAUUAUUCCGGAUUAUUUAUGUUAUGCCCAUUUUUUAGACUCAGAA